RNAcentral lists this ribosomal RNA (417 nucleotides) under uncultured Sphingobacteriales bacterium. RNAcentral describes it as "bacterial SSU rRNA". It matches the Rfam family "Bacterial small subunit ribosomal RNA", at positions 551 to 973 of the family's 1533-position model. Lineage: Bacteria; Pseudomonadati; Bacteroidota; Sphingobacteriia; Sphingobacteriales. The record is from RNAcentral.
UCAUUGGGUUUAAAGGGUGCGUAGGCGGUCAUAUAAGUCAGUGGUGAAAUACUUCAGCUCAACUGGAGAAAUGCCAUUGAUACUGUAAGUCUUGAGUACAGUAGAGGUAGGCGGAAUUUACGGUGUAGCGGUGAAAUGCUUAGAUAUCGUCAAGAACACCGAUAGCGAAGGCAGCUUACUAGACUGUAACUGACGCUGAGGCACGAAAGUGUGGGGAUCAAACAGGAUUAGAUACCCUGGUAGUCCACACUGUAAACGAUGAUUACUCGAUGUUGGCGAUACACAGCCAGCGUCUUAGCGAAAGCGAUAAGUAAUCCACCUGGGGAGUACGCCCGCAAGGGUAAACUCAAAGGAAUUGACGGGGGCCGCACAAGCGGGGAGCAUGUGGUUUAAUUCGAUGCUACGCGAGGAACCUUA